This 465-nucleotide ribosomal RNA is filed under the name uncultured bacterium. Its description in RNAcentral is "partial 16S ribosomal RNA". It matches the Rfam family "Bacterial small subunit ribosomal RNA", at positions 28 to 507 of the family's 1533-position model. The record is from RNAcentral.
GAUGAACGCUGGCGGCGUGCUUAACACAUGCAAGUCGAACGGAAAGGCUCCUGCUUGCAGGGGUACUCGAGUGGCGAACGGGUGAGUAACACGUGGGUGAUCUGCCCUGCACUUCGGGAUAAGCCUGGGAAACUGGGUCUAAUACCGGAUAGGACCACAUUUUGGAUGGUGUGGUGGAAAGUUUUUCGGUGUGGGAUGAGCUCGCGGCCUAUCAGCUUGUUGGUGGGGUAAUGGCCUACCAAGGCGUCGACGGGUAGCCGGCCUGAGAGGGUGUACGGCCACAUUGGGACUGAGAUACGGCCCAGACUCCUACGGGAGGCAGCAGUGGGGAAUAUUGCAUAAUGGGCGCAAGCCUGAUGCAGCGACGCCGCGUGGGGGAUGACGGCCUUCGGGUUGUAAACUCCUUUCGCUAGGGACGAAGCGCAAGUGACGGUACCUGGAGAAGAAGCACCGGCUAACUACGUG